RNAcentral lists this long non-coding RNA (965 nucleotides) under Mytilus galloprovincialis (Mediterranean mussel). Lineage: Eukaryota; Metazoa; Mollusca; Bivalvia; Mytilida; Mytilidae. The record is from RNAcentral.
AUUCAAUAUUCAUUGUACAUGUAUAUAUUAAUAUAUUUGAUAUUACCUCAAACAAAAUGAUGAUGUUAUUUGCAGUGAUGUAUACAUUUUCUUGACAAAGUUUUUAUUUAGUAUGUACUAAUAGAUUACUUUUAUGCCUCAGUGUAUCAUGUGUCAUUACUUGAGUAUAUGUCUAAAUAAAAUCUUGUUUAUAACAAUGUUAAGUUGUACGUUUUUGUCAGGGGAUUUUUUUUCUCAAGAUUUCAACAACUUUUGAUAUGGACAAAAUUGAUCUUUAAGGAAAAUUAGUAUUAAGGACAAAAAAAAGUAAAACCUGAUAUAAAGCAGAAACUUUAACCAGUUUGCUGGACAUGUAUUUACAUAAUAAUCCUGGUGUUUUGAUGGUUUUAUUAUGAAUUGUCGAAUUUUUACAAUUUUUUAGACACUUCCACCUUUACUAAGGUUUCUUUCUUAUAUUGUCAAGUUACAACUUAGUCUAUGAUUGCUUACAUUCAUUCCAUUUGACCUGUCAUGGAUAGUUGUCUAAUUGACAAUAAUUAUACCACAUCUCCUUAUUUUUAUUAUAUAAGUAUUUAGCAGUCACCGCUACACUUUAAUUCUGAUAGCUUCAAUAGCAUGUAAGAUACAGGGUUGGGCAGAAUAUUUUCUGUACAUGGUUAUGAAAUAUUUUGUUAGAAUGAGAUACAUAAUUUUCUGGUCAUAUACCUCAUUUUAUAUAUUAAAUUAGCAUUGCACAUAUUGUAAUUUUUUAAGGCAAUGUGGAAGGACUAAUUUACAGUAAUAACAAACAGAUAAACCAUGUUCUGUUAAUGCAGACAUUAGUUAGUGCAUGUAUUAUUGCGAUUUUGUCAUUUUAGAUUAAAAUGGAUAAUAAUUUACCAAAAAAAAAAAUACUGAGAAAAUAAAUCCCAAUUCAUUCAUAUAAAAAAAUCUAAAAUAUGAGUUUAAAUUAUUGGAAUUACAAC